GCCGGGGUGGCAGAACCCGGUCAUUGCGCUGGUCUCGAAAACCAGUGGACGCAAGUCCUUACGAGUUCAAAUCUCGUCCCCGGCG
Molecule: transfer RNA, 85 nt
Filed under: Candidatus Micrarchaeota archaeon CG1_02_55_22
Lineage: Archaea; Nanobdellati; Microcaldota
Description: tRNA-Ser
Rfam family: tRNA
About the family: Transfer RNA (tRNA) molecules are approximately 80 nucleotides in length.
Source: RNAcentral